UACGUAGGGUGCAAGCGUUAAUCGGAAUUACUGGGCGUAAAGCGUGCGCAGGCGGUGAUGUAAGUCAGGGGUGAAAUCCCCGGGCUUAACCUGGGAACUGCAUUUGUGACUGCAUCGCUGGAGUGCGGCAGAGGGGGGUAGAAUUCCACGUGUAGCAGUGAAAUGCGUAGAGAUGUGGAGGAACACCGAUGGCGAAGGCAGCCCCCUGGGUCAAGAUUGACGCUCAUGCACGAAAGCGUGGGGAGCAAACAGG
RNAcentral lists this ribosomal RNA (253 nucleotides) under uncultured bacterium. RNAcentral describes it as "partial 16S ribosomal RNA". It matches the Rfam family "Bacterial small subunit ribosomal RNA", at positions 524 to 776 of the family's 1533-position model. The record is from RNAcentral.